AUGCAUUGCCCCACGAGGACCAGUCGCCAUGGCCGGAGUUGGCCCGUCCGUGCCCCUAGGCGUGCCCGCGCGCCUCCGCGCCCGCCCGUCUGCGCCUGGCCUCGCCCCCGUGCGUGCUCCCGCGCUCCCCCUGGUCGUCCUACCCGUGCGUGUGGGAGCUCCGGCCGCGCACAACGCGCGCCCGCGGCUGUUGUCCCCGCUCGCUGCUGCCCGCACGCUGCUGCUGCUCUUGCCGCUGCCGCAACGUUGCUGUUGUUCCUUGCUGCCGCAACUGCGUGUGCUGCUCGUUGCCUGCUGCUGCGCUGUGCUGAAGCCGCCCACUGCUGCCGCUGCUAG
Molecule: ribosomal RNA, 336 nt
Filed under: Triticum aestivum (bread wheat)
Lineage: Eukaryota; Viridiplantae; Streptophyta; Magnoliopsida; Poales; Poaceae
Description: partial small subunit ribosomal RNA
Source: RNAcentral